GAAAACCACUGAAUUGUACACUUUAAAAUGGUGAAUUUUUUGAUAUGCGAAUUAUCUCAUUUAGGUUAUAAUGUUAAGUAUUGCAGAGUAGAUGAUAAAGUUAAUAAAUUUUAUUGCAGUUAAACAACUCCAAUUAUGCCCGAUAAAAAUACAAUGAUUAAAUAAGUCAUUUGAGAUGAGCCGUGUGGAAAGAUUCAGGGCAAAUGCUUUGCCAUUUGGAAACAGUGCUAUUUCCCUGUAAGCUCCUGAACAGCAUGUAUAGGUAACAGAAAAGGGUAUUCUUUUCAAGUUUCAAAGCAUUAACUUAAUAACCAACCACCUAGAGCAAGAGCAGUGUUUUUUCUCAUUUUGAAAGGAGCCGCAGAUUGCUUUGCAAUGUUUUCAUUUUCUAUUCGUUCUUGAGAAGAAAUCAAGACUCUAGCCUAAUUAUGUGGAUGUAUUAUAUUUGUAUUCUUCCUUCACUGAUUUUGCUUCCUAAACAGUAACAAGUGUUCUAGACACAGGGGAUACAGCAGUGAACAAAAGAGACAAAAAUCCAUGCCUGCCCAGAUCUCACCUUGCGCAGAAAGAAAACAAACAUGAUAAAGAUGGAAACCAUGUAGCCGGUGAGAUGCCUUUAAAUGCUGUGGAGCAAAAUGGAACCUUGAAAGGGAAGAGGCCAUCUGGCACUAUUCUAGGCAGCAGCCAUACAACAGAGAAGAAAAUGGACAAAAGAGCUUACCCUCGUGGAGUUUUCAGGCUAUUGGAGAGAGGGAAGGACAAAGAGUUAACUAACUAAACAAAAGAUGGAGAACGACUGAUGAUGGCAGAAGAUUUUUCUUGGCUGCCAUGCUCGCUGUCUCCUCAUUGCAAAUUUGUCACGAGCCCCGUCUCCUCCAGCCUGUCCUACAUGUUGCUGUGGGCCCACCAGGUGUGAGGACAGUGGAACUCAUUGGCACAGGAGAUGAAGAAGCAAAACUAAACAUCUUUAGACAUCAUCUCUCCAUUCCCAACAAAGACCCCUUCCCACAGAGCAAACGUUGAGGCAAAAAAUGAACCUGAAUCCUUUAUAGCUCACAAUGCCAGCAAAUGAAGUGAAAGAACGCAGACGCUACCGAAAUGAGCUUCAUGUCUGAAGGAGGACUUGGACGUGAUCUCGUUUGAGGAGCUCUGAGAAUUAAUUCUGAAAUGCUGGAUUGAAGACUACAGUUGGACUUUUAAACAAAAAAGGCAAAUUCAGACACUGCAACUUCAGAAGAAGGUCAGCAGAAUCUCUCUCCUUCCUGGGCAGGAUAAAACGACCUCUUCAGCUCAUCCUGUAAUCGUCUGGGUCUGUUGUUUGUGGUAAAAAAUUUAUUCCACGAGUUGGUCAGGAACUUGUCUUUCGAGAUUCAACAAUCAGGCUUUUGAGUCAAAGCUUGUUCUCGCCAGCUACUGUCUCUGCUGUGAACUUCAAAAGCCUCUUUUGAAAAAGGUCUGAAUCCAAGAAACUGUGGCAAUCACAGACCCCUGAUACCUAGCAGAGGACCUUAGCCAUGUCAU
Molecule: long non-coding RNA, 1521 nt
Organism: Equus quagga
Lineage: Eukaryota; Metazoa; Chordata; Mammalia; Perissodactyla; Equidae
Exons: 5
Source: RefSeq, a predicted model, not a curated record